CGCUGAAGAGGACAGGGAACGGGAACUCCUCUCGUUCUAUAAACAGCAGCAAGAAUGGGCAUGUCCACUUCAUUGUACUCUUGCUGGUGAUGUUGCUGUCGGAGAGGGAGUGAAGCGGUACUUUCUGACGACAAUAAUUUCCAACCUCCAAUUUGGAUUCAGACUAGAUCUUGGAGGAAUGGGCCGAACUGCUAUUUGAGGGUGAACCUGACCAUCUUGUUCCAG
This is a long non-coding RNA of Melanotaenia boesemani (Boeseman's rainbowfish), 225 nucleotides long. RefSeq lists it as uncharacterized. The record is from RefSeq and is a predicted model, not a curated record. NCBI's taxonomy places the organism in Eukaryota, Metazoa, Chordata, Actinopteri, Atheriniformes, Melanotaeniidae. The transcript has 3 exons.